UACGGAGGAUGCAAGCGUUAUCCGGAUUUAUUGGGUUUAAAGGGUACGUAGGCGGAUAUGUAAGUCAGCGGUGAAACUCACAGGCUCAACCUGUGCCGUGCCGUUGAAACUGUGUAUCUGGAAUGCGGAUGCUGUGGGAGGAAUGUGUAGUGUAGCGGUGAAAUGCAUAGAUAUUACACAGAACACCGAUUGCGAAGGCAUCUCACAAAGCCGUUAUUGACGCUGAGGCACGAAAGUGUGGGGAUCAAACA
This 251-nucleotide ribosomal RNA is filed under the name uncultured prokaryote. RNAcentral describes it as "partial 16S ribosomal RNA". It matches the Rfam family "Bacterial small subunit ribosomal RNA", at positions 524 to 774 of the family's 1533-position model. The record is from RNAcentral.